GAAGGCUCAUUAAGUCCGUUGAGGACGAGGCAGCAGUAGAGAAUAUUGUGCAAUGUACGGCAGUAUGACACAGAGAGCACACGCCCUCUUGGCCUGUCCAACUAAGUGCCAGCAGACGCGGUUAGACUUAGGGGCCAAGCCUUUAUGAGCAAAGGGGCGUAAAGGGUGUGUAGGCCGACUGCCCCACCCCCCCCAAGGUGGUAAAUGGAAUUUUUCUGUAGCGGUAGAAUGUGCGGAUAGAAAAUAGAACCCCAAAAGCAGAAGCAAUUUACCGCGGGGCGGGAGGGGGGGCCCCUUGGGGCGCCCCUCCGGGUCACGGGCUGAAACACGAGGGUGUGGGGAACAAACAGGAUUAGAGACCCUGGUAGUCCACACUGUAAACGAUGGAGAAAAUGCGAAUGCAGCCCCGAAAGGCAGCAAUCUCCCGCCUGAGUAGUACGAUCGCAAGAUUAAAAUUCAAAAAAUUUGGCUGUUCACCGUUUCGAUUAGAGGAGCGUGUAGUUUAAUUCGAUAAACCGCGAGAUACCUUACCCAAACUUGAAUCGCCCCACCCGCGACCCGAGUGGGGUGACCGGUAUUGCAUGGCCGUCGUCAGUUCGUGUAUGAAACCUUAAACGGACCCAACCCGAGGAUUAGCCGCGGAUGAAGUCAGGUCUUAUGGUCCCAAUGUUUGGGGAUAAUAUGCGCUACAUUUUCUUAUACAAUGGGAAACCUGAGAGGUGAAACCCAAAAGUGAGAGUUCGGUAGGCUAUUGGAAGAUGGCCGAAAGUUGAAUUUAAUAGUAAUCGGAAAGUAUAGCGUUCCGGUGAAAAUGGUCUAGGUGUUAGCACAAAUCGCCCGUCACCUUAACUUAGGAUGAUGGUUCGGACGCCGCCGCGCCCCCACGGGCCCCGGCGGUUACGGGCCCCUACGAAGUUAAGCAA
RNAcentral lists this ribosomal RNA (923 nucleotides) under Umimayanthus aff. parasiticus TDS-2010. RNAcentral describes it as "Parazoanthus aff. parasiticus TDS-2010 partial 12S ribosomal RNA". It matches the Rfam family "Bacterial small subunit ribosomal RNA", at positions 312 to 1484 of the family's 1533-position model. Lineage: Eukaryota; Metazoa; Cnidaria; Anthozoa; Zoantharia; Parazoanthidae. The record is from RNAcentral.